UCGUUAGCUCAGUGGGCAGAACAGUUGACUUUUAAUCAAUGGGUCGCAGGUUCGAGCCGAGCAGAGCGAGACA
This 73-nucleotide transfer RNA is filed under the name Yersinia pseudotuberculosis. RNAcentral's name for it is "tRNA-Lys". The record is from RNAcentral. Lineage: Bacteria; Pseudomonadati; Pseudomonadota; Gammaproteobacteria; Enterobacterales; Yersiniaceae.